UGGGGAAUAUUGGACAAUGGGCGAAAGCCUGAUCCAGCCAUGCCGCGUGUGUGAAGAAGGUCUUCGGAUUGUAAAGCACUUUAAGUCGGGAGGAAGGGCAUUAACCUAAUACGUUAGUGUUUUGACGUUACCGACAGAAUAAGCACCGGCUAACUCUGUGCCAGCAGCCGCGGUAAUACAGAGGGUGCAAGCGUUAAUCGGAAUUACUGGGCGUAAAGCGCGCGUAGGUGGUUUGUUAAGUUGGAUGUGAAAUCCCCGGGCUCAACCUGGGAACUGCAUUCAAAACUGACUGACUAGAGUAUGGUAGAGGGUGGUGGAAUUUCCUGUGUAGCGGUGAAAUGCGUAGAUAUAGGAAGGAACACCAGUGGCGAAGGCGACCACCUGGACUAAUACUGACACUGAGGUGCGAAAGCGUGGUGAGCAAACA
RNAcentral lists this ribosomal RNA (427 nucleotides) under uncultured bacterium. Its description in RNAcentral is "partial 16S ribosomal RNA". It matches the Rfam family "Bacterial small subunit ribosomal RNA", at positions 355 to 774 of the family's 1533-position model. The record is from RNAcentral.